This 283-nucleotide ribosomal RNA is filed under the name uncultured bacterium. RNAcentral describes it as "partial 16S ribosomal RNA". It matches the Rfam family "Bacterial small subunit ribosomal RNA", at positions 337 to 635 of the family's 1533-position model. The record is from RNAcentral.
GCCUACGGGGCGCAGCAGUGGGGAAUAUUGGGCAAUGGGCGCAAGCCUGACCCAGCAACGCCGCGUGAAGGAAGAAGGCUUUCGGGUUGUAAACUUCUUUUCUCAGGGACGAAUAGAUGACGGUACCUGAGGAAUAAGCCACGGCUAACUACGUGCCAGCAGCCGCGGUAAUACGUAGGUGGCAAGCGUUAUCCGGAUUUACUGGGUGUAAAGGGCGUGUAGGCGGGGACGGAAGGCAGAUGGGAAAAACACGGGCUCAACCGGUGGCCUGCAUUUGAAAAUG